Molecule: ribosomal RNA, 478 nt
Filed under: uncultured anaerobic ammonium-oxidizing bacterium
Lineage: Bacteria
Description: bacterial SSU rRNA
Rfam family: Bacterial small subunit ribosomal RNA
Source: RNAcentral
UUCGCAAUGCCCGAAAGGGUGACGAAGCGACGCCGCGUGCGGGAAGAAGGCCUUCGGGUUGUAAACCGCUGUCGGGAGUUAAGAAGUGCGGGGAUGUUAAUAGCGUCCUUGCUUGACUAAGGCUCCGGAGGAAGCCACGGCUAACUCUGUGCCAGCAGCCGCGGUAAUACAGAGGCGGCAAGCGUUGUUCGGAAUUAUUGGGCGUAAAGAGCACGUAGGCGGCCGCGUAAGUCGGUUGUGAAAGCCUUCCGCUCAACGGAAGGACGGCAUCCGAUACUGCAUGGCUCGAGUGCGGGAGGGGAGAGUGGAACUUCUGGUGGAGCGGUGAAAUGCGUAGAUAUCAGAAGGAACACCGGCGGCGAAGGCGACUCUCUGGUCCGAAACUGACGCUGAGUGUGCGAAAGCUAGGGGAGCAAACGGGAUUAGAUACCCCGGUAGUCCUAGCCGUAAACGAUGGGCACUAAGUAGAGGGGUUUUA